Molecule: ribosomal RNA, 514 nt
Filed under: uncultured bacterium
Lineage: Bacteria
Description: bacterial SSU rRNA
Rfam family: Bacterial small subunit ribosomal RNA
Source: RNAcentral
CGCUGGCGGCGUGCCCUAAUACAUGCAAGUCGAACGGUCUUUUCAUGGAAGCUUGCUUCCACUGAGAAGAUAGUGGCGAACGGGUGAGUAACACGUGGGUAACCUGCCCCAUAAGAGGGGGGAUAACAUCCGGAAACGGGUGCUAAUACCGCAUAGUUUUCUUGAUCGCAUGAUCGGGAAAGGAAAGACGGCCUUUGUGCUGUCGCUUAUGGAUGGACCCGCGGCGUAUUAGUUAGUUGGUGAGGUAACGGCUCACCAAGACGAUGAUACGUAGCCGACCUGAGAGGGUGAUCGGCCACAUUGGGACUGAGGCACGGCCCAAACUCCUACGGGAGGUAGCAGUAGGGAAUCUUCCGCAAUGGACGAAAGUCUGACGGAGCAACGCCGCGUGAGUGAAAGAAGGUUUUCGGAUCGUAAAACUCUGUUGUCAGAGAAGAACAAGUUGGAGAGUAACUGCUCCAGCCUUGACGGUAUCUGACCAGAAAGCCACGGCUAACUACGUGCCAGCCGCCGC